Molecule: ribosomal RNA, 496 nt
Filed under: uncultured bacterium
Lineage: Bacteria
Description: partial 16S ribosomal RNA
Rfam family: Bacterial small subunit ribosomal RNA
Source: RNAcentral
AUGAACGCUGGCGGCGUGCCUAAUACCUGCAAGCCGAGCGCACGGACGAGAAGCUUGCUUCUCUGAUGUUAGCGGCGGACGGGUGAGUAACACGUGGAUAACCUACCUAUAAGACUGGGAUAACUUCGGGAAACCGGAGCUAAUACCGGAUAAUAUUUUGAACCGCAUGGUUCAAAAGUGAAAGACGGUCUUGCUGUCACUUAUAGAUGGAUCCGCGCUGCAUUAGCUAGUUGGUAAGGUAACGGCUUACCAAGGCAACGAUGCAUAGCCGACCUGAGAGGGUGAUCGGCCACACUGGAACUGAGACACGGUCCAGACUCCUACGGGAGGCAGCAGUAGGGAAUCUUCCGCAAUGGGCGAAAGCCUGACGGAGCAACGCCGCGUGAGUGAUGAAGGUCUUCGGAUCGUAAAACUCUGUUAUUAGGGAAGAACAUAUGUGUAAGUAACUGUGCACAUCUUGACGGUACCUAAUCAGAAAGCCACGGCUAACUACGUG